AUGCAUCUUCAAGGAAGGCAUACAGGAGCAAAUCUGAGUACUGCAUACAUGGGGGAAAUGGCUGGAUGGAAUAUUGAGAAUAAGUUGUUUGCUUUGACCUUGGACAAUGCUGCUUCAAAUGAUGUUUGUGUUGACACCAUCAUCUCUACCCUUAAAAAUCAUGAUUCUCUAUUAUGUCAAGGCAAGUUCUUUCAUGUGCGCUGUGCUACUCAUAUAAUUAACCUCGUUGCUAGGGAUGGUGUGAGCACCAUUGCAUCUAUUAUAGAUAAUGUUCGUGCAUCAGUUCUUAUUGUCAAGAGCUCACCUCAACAACUAGAGAUAUUUAUGAAGCAUGCUACCGAUAUGGGAUUAUGCACAAAAAAGGGUCUUUCUCAAGAUGUGUCUACUAGAUGGAACUCAACCUACUUAAUGCUAGUAGCUGCCAUGCACUAUAAACAGGUUUUCCAAAGGCUUGCUAUUUUGCAACCAUCUAAGUAUCGCAAAUGUGCUCCUAGUAAAGAUGAUUGGGAUAAGGCAAGUGUGGUAUGCUCGUGCUUGAAGAUAUUUUAUAAUGUUACUAAGCUUCUGUCUGGAUCUUACUACCCGACUGCUAACCUGUUCUUUGUUGAAUUCUCUGAGAUUAACAUUCAACUCAUUGAGUGGAUGAAUGCCAAGGGCAAGAAUAAUAACUUCAUUGCUGCCAUGGCAAAAGCUAUGAAGGAAAAAUUUGACAAGUACUGGGAGAUGAGUAAUGUUGCUCUAGCAGUUGGAUGCAUGUUAGAUCCUCGCUACAAGAUGAAAGUGGUUGAUUUUUACUACAAAGAAAUGUCAGACAACUCUGGGGUUGAAGAGAUAGUUGCAUUUAGAGAAGUUGUUCAAGAGUUAUAUGAUUCAUAUGCUUCUCUUUAUAAUCCUACAAUUGGCACAGGAGAACCUUCAUCUAAAGCUUCUCACCUCCACAUGAAUGUAAAUACUGAGCCACGAAAGAAAAAGCUAAGUGCUUUUCUAAAUGAUAUAAGUGAAGUAGACCAAGAUAAGUCUGACUUGGAGAAAUAUUGUAGCGCACCCUUGGUAAGGUGGCCUGAAGGUGAAUAUUUUGACAUUCUAUCUUGA
This 1092-nucleotide ribosomal RNA is filed under the name Triticum aestivum (bread wheat). RNAcentral's name for it is "partial small subunit ribosomal RNA". Lineage: Eukaryota; Viridiplantae; Streptophyta; Magnoliopsida; Poales; Poaceae. The record is from RNAcentral.